RNAcentral lists this transfer RNA (88 nucleotides) under Emcibacter nanhaiensis. RNAcentral describes it as "tRNA-Ser". It matches the Rfam family "tRNA". From Rfam's summary of the family: Transfer RNA (tRNA) molecules are approximately 80 nucleotides in length. Their secondary structure includes four short double-helical elements and three loops (D, anti-codon, and T loops). Further hydrogen bonds mediate the characteristic L-shaped molecular structure. tRNAs have two regions of fundamental functional importance: the anti-codon, which is responsible for specific mRNA codon recognition, and the 3' end, to which the tRNAs corresponding amino acid is attached (by aminoacyl-tRNA synthetases). tRNAs cope with the degeneracy of the genetic code in two manners: having more than one tRNA (with a specific anti-codon) for a particular amino acid; and 'wobble' base-pairing, i.e. permitting non-standard base-pairing at the 3rd anti-codon position. Lineage: Bacteria; Pseudomonadati; Pseudomonadota; Alphaproteobacteria; Emcibacterales; Emcibacteraceae. The record is from RNAcentral.
AGAGAGGUGGCCGAGUGGUUUAAGGCGCACGCCUGGAACGCGUGUUGGGCGCAAGCCCUCGAGGGUUCGAAUCCCUUCCUCUCUGCCA